AAUACGCGCGUACUUGUCAAACAGAGAACCCGGGCUCUCUUUUACCGAGAGACUCGGGCCGCCGAUACGCCGUCGCAGGGUCGUCUGUGGCGUUGUGGCCUUCGCCGAGGAGAGUAAUGCCGGUUUUUUGCUCAAUGACAAAUUCCCCCCCGAGCCACAAUUGAGAUCCUUCGCGAUCGCUUCGAUCGUGGUUCGGACGGAUUCGUCGUUUUUCGACAAGAGAAGACACACCGAAGCUGUGGACUCAAGCAAGCGCGACGGAAGAUGUUGGCUCCGGUGUUUGCAACAGAGAAAUGUGCGAUCAAAAAUAAUAAAAUUAAGAACCGUAACAAAUACAAACUAUAAAUAAAAAUAACGCGUCGCAACUAAAGACAUCUCUCAUUACUUGGCCACGCUUCUUAUCGUCCGAAAGUAAUAAAAAAAAAAAAACUGCAGCUUGAAGGAUAACAAAGAUCAGACCUCUCUCCGAGAAACGCGGUCAGUAUGAUCGAUUUUUGAUAUUUACUUGAAAAAGAAUUUUAUAAAG
This is a long non-coding RNA of Pseudomyrmex gracilis, 526 nucleotides long. RefSeq lists it as uncharacterized. Lineage: Eukaryota; Metazoa; Arthropoda; Insecta; Hymenoptera; Formicidae. The record is from RefSeq and is a predicted model, not a curated record. The transcript has 3 exons.